Molecule: ribosomal RNA, 114 nt
Filed under: Mediterranea massiliensis
Lineage: Bacteria; Pseudomonadati; Bacteroidota; Bacteroidia; Bacteroidales; Bacteroidaceae
Description: partial 23S ribosomal RNA
Rfam family: Bacterial large subunit ribosomal RNA
Source: RNAcentral
AAAAAAGCAAGAAAGGGCACAUGGCGGAUGCCUUGGCUCUCGGAGGCGACGAAGGACGUGAUAAGCUGCGAUAAGCUGCGGGGAGGUGCAAAUGACCCUUGAUCCGCGGAUUUC